This 46-nucleotide non-coding RNA is filed under the name Schistosoma curassoni. The record is from RNAcentral. Lineage: Eukaryota; Metazoa; Platyhelminthes; Trematoda; Strigeidida; Schistosomatidae.
AUCUAGCUGACGAGUCCCAAAUAGGGGCGAAACUCGCGUCCUGGAU